Molecule: ribosomal RNA, 488 nt
Filed under: uncultured bacterium
Lineage: Bacteria
Description: partial 16S ribosomal RNA
Rfam family: Bacterial small subunit ribosomal RNA
Source: RNAcentral
GAUGAACGCUAGCGGCAGGCCUAAUACAUGCAAGUCGAACGGGAUCCAGAUCAAAGCUUGCUUUGGUUUGGUGAGAGUGGCGUACGGGUGCGUAACGCGUGAGCAACCUACCCUUGUCAGGGGGAUAGCCCGGCGAAAGUCGGAUUAAUACCGCAUGACAUCAUUGAGAGGCAUCUUUCGAUGAUCAAAGAUUUAUCGGACAAGGAUGGGCUCGCGUGACAUUAGCUAGUUGGUAAGGUAACGGCUUACCAAGGCUACGAUGUCUAGGGGCUCUGAGAGGAGAAUCCCCCACACUGGUACUGAGACACGGACCAGACUCCUACGGGAGGCAGCAGUAAGGAAUAUUGGUCAAUGGACGGAAGUCUGAACCAGCCAUGCCGCGUGCAGGAAGACGGCCCUAUGGGUUGUAAACUGCUUUUAUACGGGAACAAACGUCGGUACGUGUACCGGUCUGAGUGUACCGUAAGAAUAAGGAUCGGCUAACUCCG